UACGUAGGGUGCGAGCGUUAAUCGGAAUUACUGGGCGUAAAGCGUGCGCAGGCGGCGCGUUAAGACAGGUGUGAAAGCCCCGAGCUUAACUUGGGAAUUGCGCUUGUGACUGGCGUGCUGGAGUGUGGCAGAGGGAGGUGGAAUUCCACGUGUAGCAGUGAAAUGCGUAGAGAUGUGGAGGAACACCGAUGGCGAAGGCAGCCUCCUGGGCCAGCACUGACGCUCAUGCACGAAAGCGUGGGAGCAAACAGG
This 252-nucleotide ribosomal RNA is filed under the name uncultured bacterium. Its description in RNAcentral is "partial 16S ribosomal RNA". It matches the Rfam family "Bacterial small subunit ribosomal RNA", at positions 524 to 776 of the family's 1533-position model. The record is from RNAcentral.